AGGUUUACAAAACUGUAAUUGUGAUAAUGAUUCUUUGGACAACAUUUGAGAAAUCAAAUUGCAGACUUGUGGAGCUAAAAUCAUGACGAGAAGUUACUGGAGGUCUUGCAAAAGGGAGCUCUGCAUAUUUUUGCGACCAGGCACUAUUGCUUGUUUCUAAAUCCCUCGUCAUAGUGUGCUUCCCCAUUCUGCUUCCCUAAUUGCCUAUAGCAAUGGGUGUACUGGAUGUGGUUUCCUCCCUCCCCAUGUAUGUAUUUGAUUUUUUUUUUCAAAGAGUGCAUCAUGUUCUUGUCCUGAGAUGAAUUCGUGUCUCAAAUAGUGCACUCAAUCCAAGAAUCAUAAAGUACUCAUAAGUCUUUUGUUAUGUCUGUGAGAUGCUAUAGGAAUCGUUUCUGGUUUGUGAUAAGAGGUACAGAAGGAAGCAUACAAAAACCUUACUACUAGUAGCAUUAGAAUAACGCAAUACACUUUAUCUCCACCAAGUUAUCCUUAUUAGGAUUUCACUUAUUGUGGCUUCACCUAAAGUUUUUCCUCCAAAGUUUUAUGUGUUGAUAUUUAUUUGCUGACAUGUCCCUCAGGACUCCCUUUUUCCAUGCAAGUAAGAAGUGCUUUACUCUCGUUGUGACCCUAGGAAGGGCUGGGUGAUGCUGGAGGAUGUCCUCUGGUUUCAGAGCUCAUCACUAAGGAGUGGCUGUGUUGUUCUCAGAGUACAGCUGUUGGGUUAUUUUCAGCAGCCACUGGAGGCUUGGGGAAUUUCUACAGGUUAUCAUGUAAGAGCAGCACUUCUGUGAGGGCUGCUCAUGACCAGGACUUAUCUGUGGGCUACUGUGGUGAAUGCUGUUAAAAAUGAAUGCCAGCCACAAGCACGAAGCCUUACAAGCUGGGGAAAUGGUGUCAUUCUUCCUGUGAUAAUAUUGAUGGAUGGCUUUGUGUGUGUGAGAAAUCUUGAAAAAAGUGUUUGUUUUUUUUUUUAAGGUAAAAUGCAAUAUAAAGUGAAUGAUAUAUAUAGUUUGCGAGUCAAGAAAUAUUUCCCUUUUUAUAUUCUGCCUCACAAGGAUUUUCUCCAUAUUUAGUUUUAAGCUAAUACUUCACUUCACAUUUAAGAACCUACAAUUUAUGUCAGGAAAAGCUUUUAUGUUUAUACUGUGCCAUAACUAAUAAUGAGGGCUAUGCUUUUGCUUUACCAGGCUUCCACAUUUGCUUAAUUUAGAAGUUACUUUACUAUAAAAGGAAGAGCUCUCUCUGGAUUUCAGCUAGUAUAAUUAAUGCUGUUUCACAUUGAUGCACCAAUAUACAGAAAUUGAUUGUGCAUACAUGAAAAAUACAACACAUUCUUCUUUGAUUUCCCAUCUUUUCUUUUGGUCAAAAGAGUAAAAUAACCAGAAGAUAAAUAUUUCUACAGAAGUAGAAAUAUUCUUCUAGCCAGAAGCAAACCAAAGGGAAGUGCUAUCAUUGGACGUGUGAGUUUGGUAUUUCAGUUACACAACGAACAACAAACUACCUCAGAGGCAGUGUGAGUUCGGUACGUGAAAUUAAAAACGAUUGAAAACCUAUCUAUCGAUGUUACAAAAUGAACUACUAUUGUGAAAUCUCACAAAAUAACUGAUACAUUGAAAGUAAGUAUCUCAGUAGGAAAAUUUUUCUGCCAAGAAGCACACCGAUAUCUUCCAGUCUUUUGAUUUUCAUGCCAUUUAGCAAUUUUCUCACUUACAAAUCUGCUACAGAAACUAUUAGCUUCAAAAUAUUUUAAAAUUACAUUAAAUUUUAAUAAGUUUUGUUUUUCAUUUAGUAUUUGGAAACCAAAAGGUUGAAUUUUUCUUUUUUUUUUUUCCUCUUCUUUCAUGUUUGCUCGUCUUCAUUGUGUAUUUUGCCUUCUCCUCACCAUCUUUUGGUGGAAAAAUCAAAAAUGGUUUUCCCCAGGACUCCACAGAGAGAGGAUGGAAGAGCUGCCAAAGAGACAACUAACAGCUGCCCUGCCACAGCAGCAGAGCCUACAGGAUUUCACCUCAGAGCCUGCUGUCUUCUGGACCCCACCUUUACAUCCUUUGAGGCGUGAGCCCUCCAAAGCACAUCUCUGUGUCCGACCGGCUCGGCUCUGAUGCGGCUGACGCGGUUCCCAUCCUGAGCGAAGUCGGUGAUGGCUGUCACUGUUAGAACAGCUGCUGCACAGCUGCCUUCUGAGCAGGGCGCCGGCACCAGAUCCACCUGGCACGCUGAGAGGACGAUGUUUGGGGGCCCCAGUAAUUGGCUAUCUAAAAUGAACAUGAGCACCGAGUCUGACAAGAGGUGCUAAUAUUUCUGGAAUGAAAGUCUUAUCUUUAAGGACCCAUGCCCAGGAAAUGAAGAUGAGUUGUUCUUGUGACAAAGAAAGAGAUGAAUCUAUGCUUCUGGAAAACAUUAAUCUUUCACUAGCUUUAUUAUAGCAAGAAGCACACAGCAUUCUUUCAGAUAAACAAAUGGACCCAACAGAUAAUAAAACUUGUGAUUGUGCAAGCACCCAGCAGUACGUAUUCAUCCAUAAGUACAUACGCAUAUAACAUUUAACACCAGCUUAAGUGUGAAGCAUAGAAACACCCUCAGGCUGGAGUAAUCAGAGGUUAGAGUUGGUCAUUAGUUUAAGCUACAGAAAUGUGUUGAUUAAACUGAUGGAAAUUUGCCUUUUUAGUGACUAGCUCCUUCAAAGAUUAGUUAAUUUAUUGAGUUGUGUCUCUAUUGUGGCAACUCUUGGCACCAACACAUCAUGCCCAUUGACAACCUGAAAACCUGCUUGUGCAGGUUUUCAGUAGAAUGCAUAUUAUGGGAUUGGAAAAGUCUAUGGCAAGGAAUCAACCUCAGUCCAAUCUGUUACGCUCAAAAAUUACCUUGAUUGUUUAAGUGACUAAUUAUCAUUUGAUCCCUGUAGGUGUGACUGUUGGUUGGAGUUUUCGGUGCUAUUCCACCACACAGCAGCCAGCAUUCUCAGCUAUCUCCAUAGCUUAGAAAAUCUGUUCCCAUGAGCUCAGCAAAUGUUUGCAUGGUGGACUGGCAUAGACUGUAAGCCAAGAGCAAUAUGGGGAAGGGAGCAGCACUGAGCCAUGAAGAAACGCAAAGUACUCCAUGUACGAGAGCCAACACAGCUGCUGGAACCAUAAGAUGGAACGAGUAAGGAAUAACGAGUGAAGAGCAGCCCUAGCAAACACCCAGAGGAGCUUUCAGAUGGGAUUGGACGCUGCUGCGUGCUGGACCGCGCGUUGCUGCAUUACUGUGUCUCCCAGCUGGAGAUGUCCGCUGCUUAUGUCCAGAGGUUUUUGCUCAAAUUAAAUGGAAAACCAAAUUAAACAAUGAUUUAAUUAAGUGGAAGAGAUGGAACGUAGAGGCAGAUUUAGAAGGUGAAGAUCUGAAAGAAGCGUAUUCUUCCAAUCGUGACAUCUAACAGAUGUAAUCCUUCAACAGCAAAACAGAGAUUUACUCUCAUUUGGAGGAUAAUGAAGAAAACAAUGGCGUGUUGUUGAUCACGAAGCGGUACCAUGCUGCUGGCAGUGAGUGGUCACACACCAGCUCCUGAGCGGCCGUUCGCUGCAGUUCCAGCGAGUCGAACCCGGUGCUGCGGUACGGGCUGCGAAGGACGCGGUGUCCAGCCGGGGAGCACUCGGGAGCUGAAAGAACAGUGAGCUACGCAAUUCUCCACAGGAGUAUGCAGAUAGAGGCAGCCAAGCAUCUCUUACCUGAGGACCGAAAAGGCAUCAAGAAUGGCUGACAAAGAAGGUGACAACAAGAAGCCCCUGCAAGAGAGAUGAGAGAAUGUCUGGAAGAGGCACUUAGCUGUGGGGAGAGGCUUUUUUCACUGAUAUGUCUGAAGGUAUGGAGGAAGGUGCAAAAUCCCAAAAGGGCAAGGUUGACCUGCUCCCACUGGCUCCAAUCACAAUGGGGGAAUACAGACAUUUCUCUGCCCUCCUGCCUUCCUUGCUCAGAAGCAGUGCAUCAUGGAAAAUGGCUCUUCAUUGGCUAUCAAGGCUGAAUUGCUUCAGAGUGAUUCUGCAGCUGAUCGUGUUUGGCACAUUUCAAUCUCAGCAGUCCAAAAACCAGCCUUUCAUCAACCGAAGUAUGCACUACAAGGCUUAUUGUCUCUCACUCAAAGCACGUUGUGAACAGGUGUGUAUUUCCUUUUGACAAACACCAGAAGAACCAGCUCUUAUGCCUGCCAAGGUAGAUCACACUGGAUCUCAGGACUGAGAUGAUGCUGUUUUUCCCUUAAUGAUUUCAGCUCCCUUUCCCUUUGUUUAGCCACCUACCCCAGCUAAGCCUUUUGGCAGCAACUACAGCUCUCUCUCUUACCCCAUGUUACUUUCAAAUGUGGUGUGAAAGAAAGCCAGCGUCCAAACCUACUGUGAUGAUCCUUGCUGGCUAUUUCUAGCCUCUCCUGCCUUCCCUGUCAUGCUACAGUAAAAUUCUAGACUAAGAAUGAAUUUUGUUUCAUUUAUUCUAUAAUUUGCUGAAAUAAGUGUUUAGUGUAGAAGAAACUAUUAAGAUCUAGGUUAUUUCCUUACAGAAUACGUAGAUUCAGCAGCAUGGCUCGAUAUUAAUAACAACCAAAUGGCUAAAUCCCUGCAAACUGGGAUAAAAGUUUGUCCCUAGGGAUCCAGCAAACACUCUUAAAUCACUGAAUUAUCUUAAUUCUAAAAUAACCUUCCGGAAGCAGUGUGGAGCCCAGCUAUACUUUGAGUCAUUUAGCCAUAUCUGGAAUGCUGAGGCUAUUCCAGAUGCAGACAGGCACAAUGCAAAGCAGAGCUGGUCAAACAUGUGAAGACUUGGGGUGUAAAAGGAUUAACAGCUGCUAAUGUUGUACAUUUUUUUCUGUUGCAAUAUUAUGAGUACAGACAGCAUCCAGAGCAAUGCAAAAAGGGAAAGAUGGCAUGCAGGAAAGACAGAAUACACCUCUAUAAUACUUUAUUGAGCAGAUGAUACAGGCACUAGGAAAAUGUGUGAAGCAGAUAAGUAGCAGUUCACCAGUCUAGUGAGAAAAAGUUACUUUCUUCUACCUAAAAUUAAACCUUUCAUUUUUUUUACAGAGCAACAGUCUCUAAAAUAAAAAAGGAAGAGUGAUAAUAGUUGAAAGGCAAACUAAACGCCUGUUCAACCUGAAAUCAAGUAUCUCAGAAAUAGGAAUAAUUGAGUCAUUUAAAUUUCAAAAAUGUUGAAAGGGCAUAUUUCAACUUUAAAAAGUGCACCUCUUUUUCGGUAGUCUAAAUAGUUUGUCACAUUCAAAAUGAAGCUACAGGAGAUCCUGAUGAUGUAGUGAUGGUGUCAGCAAUGCUAUUUGAGCCAGCUCUGUUCACUGGAAGCUCUCUCCUGAGGAAGCCCACAUCAGCUGGGUUUGCUCCAUGUGCAUGUGCUCUCUGCCUAUCUUGAUGGCAUUUCUUCACACGAACUGCUCUCUAUGCUGAGCUUUUACUUUUAAUUCUUUCCUAUUCCUUCCUCUGUCUGCUGUCCUGCAAGACCCCUGCCAUGCUCCCUGCUGGAUAUCGCACAGCUCCUACUGUCCUGACGUCAGGAAAACAAUGCAUGCACGCCCCACAACAAAAACAUAUGGGAAAAUGGAGCCUUGGCCUGAUGCUUAUUCCAGUUCUGGCUACCCAGCGUAAAGAGCACGGAGACGUUUUUGGUGUGAGCAAUGCUGAAAUGAGGAACAGCCUGCUUUUCAUGAUAACGCUCCUUAUAUCUGAAUUAUUGCUGCAGUGGCUGCAUGGGAACACGAAGCAAUGAGACCACCCUCUCCCUCGAUAGUUCUUCUGUGAUAGAUGGAUUCCUCUGUCCUCCCCCUCAAGCGAGGAUAUGUAAUUCUGAUUUAUUUCCUAUGCUGUAGUGAUCAACCACGUAAAAGAAUGACUCUGGAUAUGUAUCCCAAAUGCUCUGGAUUGGCAUGUGACUUACGAACAUUUUAACAUGUCCCUUCAAAAGAAAAAUGCAGGCUUCAGUCCUGUGACACAACUGCUCUUCCUGUGAUUUGCAUCCUUUUAGGCCAUAGUUCUUCGUAGCCAUGUCACAAAUUCAAUCAUGUUGCUAGUAAGUCUGGUCUGCCAUCAGAAUCUUCAUCACUAGGAAGCCCUAAUAUGGAUGAUAUUAUGGCUCUGGCUUGAAGCAGCCUCCUGUACCAGCUAAUGUUUGUAUUUCUCUUGAACUCAUUUCUUAAUAUUUGUUACUUAUUCAUUAUGACUCCUUGACUACAGAGAGUACAUCAAAGCUAAAAUUUUCUCUUUAAUCAGGGACCUAAAGCAUUAUCACUCUGAUCAUGGGAUAGCAGCUUUCAAAUUUGCUUCUCUGUCCUAUUAUUGGAAUGUGUCCCAUCAUUUAAAGUCCUCUUCUAAGGUGGGAAAAAUAACCUUUUCCUUUUCAAGGCAAACUUUCUUUUUCUGAGGAUCCUCCACAGACUUCAUGAGCUUAUUCCAAGAGUGAAACAGGUUUUUGUAGGGAUUGAAUCGUUUGGAAUAGUACUUUGCAGUAAUUCUGCAUUGCCAAAAUCAUUUCAAAGAUUUCUUGAGGUUAAGAGCAGAAGGCUAUUUUGGCUGUGAUUUCAUGAGAAAUGGCAGUCCGUCUCUGCAAAAGGCUGUGCAGGUAGUCAUUAAACUAAGUCUCCUUUCACAGGAGAACAAAAUGUAAAGAACUGAUCUGUGAUCAUGGGUGCAUGUGGUGUAUGGGAGAGUCUGCUUUUCAGCCUUUUAUAAGAGAGUUAUAUCUAUGUAUAAUUGCUAAAAUAAGUUGCUUCUUUUUUCUUCGAGAUCAGGUAGGAGAAGGAGUUUGAGUUGUUAGCAGACAACAUUAGAUUAAAGAAAAUAAAACCAUUAAUAAUUUCUUCCAUCCUAAGUAAAGUAAACCCUAGAGCUGAGUUAGCCCCUCCAAUUCUGCUAGUGAGAAUUUAGGGAAAAGAGAAUCCCUGUCUAGGAGACAAAAGCUUGGUAGAAGGAGAAAGAGCAAAAUACAUGGGGAAACAGACUGCUUGUAUUUGUUAUCCUGACAUCUAGCUGGAGCCAGCAGCAAGAAACUAUGAGACGCUUGUGCAACACAAUGAAAGGUCCAAGAAAAGAAGACAGGAUAGAACUGGAGAAGGUUGCAUAAUCCAUCCAUGCUCAAAACCAUGCACCAUGGAUUAUGCAGAAUCCCAUUUUCCACCCGUGGGGUAACAUAUGUGGACUUUAGAGACAGUACCAUUGUUAGUCUGUGCUUUGCACAUGGUGUAUCGAUUUGGUGCAGAACUUAUCUUUCUGAGCAGCUCUCAGAAAUUCCCUGUGAACCUCGCAAAUUCUUUUCUUGGGCCCUCGGGGGCUGCCCUGAAGUUCUAUCUGCGUCGCUCGGAUGAGUGCUCGGAGCAGUCCCUGCUGCUCCCCAACAAGGGGGAGCUUGUUCAUACCCUUAUCUGCUUAGGGCUUGGCAUGGAUGGUGCACGCUUGUUUUACCUUCUGUCUGCUAACAACUUGCCCCUGAGUGUUUGGAAUCGGUAUAAAGCGAAUAGAGUGCGAUACCAUAUGUUAAUUCCAGUACGCUUUUUGGCUGAUAAAAGUGAAGAGUAUAAGCUCUGUGUGAGAUUAUUUCAUAUAAAUGCAUCAAGGCAAUUGCAUGGACAGGCUGGGAAAGCAGUAGCUUUAUCCAUUAAGAUUUUAUCUAAAUAAUCCAAAUGUUAUGAACGAGAAAAGAAAAUGAGUAGAAAGGUGGGCAACAAAAUCAAACUACCUAAGAAAAUCCAUCUGUGAUCAUGCCAAGAUUCUGAACACUGAAUUUUUUAAAAAAGCUGAGAUGUUUUGUAUGGGGCUGGUGCAUCAGAACUAUUACUCACUCUCUUUCUGGAGUGGAAACGAGUAUUCUGCCACCGCACAUAUUUCUCAGAUAAACAAAUGUAAAUGGCAAGAGGAAGGAUGAUGUUCCAUGGUGCACUUGUUCUCUUGACGCUUGAUGGUAUCAAAUAACCCCCAGUUUUGCCAAUAGAAAAAGACUGAAUUUAUGAAGAAUAAGAUCGACUGAAACAGAUGACGGUGUUUAAAAACGUUAGCUAAUAUUGAUGUUUCAGCGGAAAAAAGACUGAGAAAGCUGCCCUGAGGAUUUGAUUGAUAUGGCUGCCACAGGGGCUGGUGUCACGCUGGAUAAGACACUCCAGCCAUGUCAGAGGUGAUCAUUACUUCUGUGCUCCUUGUUUUCUGGGUGCCUGACUGAUGACCCUGAUAUGCAGAAACGUGAAGCACUUAAUGCUUAGCUGCUGCUGUGAUCCUGAUGUCAGAGCUGGCUGCAAGCGUUGCGACGAACCGUUUUUCUGUUGGAAACUGCUGACACGACGCAGCUGAGGUUUUCACAGAAACGUGUAUUUCCACUAAAGUUGUGGUUGUGCGAUUUUGUGAAAAGGGAGGAAACUCUUCAUGUUGGAAUAAUCAAAGCCCAGGAGAGACUACUGCAAAACGAGAGGUUUGGUCUCUGCUCUGAGUCAGCCCAUCAAAACUUCCCAAAUAAAUGCAGUUAACUCCUGAGUUAAUGGUUAUUAAGGGAGUGGCAGUGGAGUUGGGCACAAGAGGAACUCUCUCCCUUUCCUUCUCUAAGCAUUGUUACUAAACAUUUCAAAGGGUUUCAUUCCUGUUCAAAAGUUUUAAAAAAAGUCUUUAUAUUUUCCAUGGAAGGGGAGAGCAGCUUCCUACCAGGCUUCUGCCUUUGUCCUCUGGAUUUCAGAGGUCCUCCAUAAAUUUCUGAAGACAGUUUUUAAUGAUUCAAGUAAUUAUUUGGCUGUUACUGAGAGUGGAUUCAUCAGUUACUGCCAACCUGGAUAUACCCAUUUUAGCUGCUGUUUCUGCCUUGUGUUCCUAUAGCUCUCUUAAAAUUAACUGUGUUAAGUAUCUGAUUAUAAUUAAAUUACUCUGAGAAGGCUGAAGCAACAAAGACUGAAUGAAUUGAUAUUCUCUAUGUCAUUUUACCUGCUUUCCUCCCCUUUUAAUGGACCUACACUACUUUCCUUUGCAGUGAUAACAUGAAUACUAUUUGCCCUUCACCCCACAAAGGCUCUGAAAGUAAAUUAAUGACUGCACAUUAAACACGCGGUUGCUAUAGUGAAGAAGGAAAAAGCCUAUCAGGAAAUGAAUGGCACUUCCAAGAUGGGUUUUGCUAUUUUGUGGCAUACGUGCAUUACAGCCACAUGCUCACAAAUAAGAAAGACACGAGCUACUGACUCCGUAAUUGAGUGUCAUCUAUCCUGGGCACUGAAGGAAGCACAGGUCCUUGAGCAAAUCAGUGCACGAUCAUGCCCCAGAGACUGGAUUAUAAUUCACAAGCACAUGGAACAAAUUAAGGUGGCAUGGACAACUUUGGCUCCGGGCUUUCCUGGCUAGUGAAUGUUUCCCAUCACAACUUUGUGUGAUGAUGGUUGGGAGAAGAAUAAAUUUCUUCUCAGAGAGUAUGGUAAUGCAUUGGAACAGGCUGCCCAUGGAGGUGAUGAAGUCACUGUUUCUGGCGCUGUUCUAGAAAAGGGUUGAUGUGGCACUGAUGGACGUGGUUAGUGAGCAUGGUGGGGAUGAGCUGACUGUUGCACUUGGUGUUCUUGGUGAUCUUUUUCAACCUUAAAUGAUUCUGUGGUGAAAUAUUUGCUCAGGUUCAAGUGCUGGAUGGUGUCUCGUCAGCUUCUCCAAGGCACUUAGUACUUCCUCGCCUUGGAAGAAGUUAGAUCCCUCCUGCCUGAGAUGGUAACCAGCACCCUGUUACUCUUUGUUUUUGUAGGUCUUUAUCCACUGAGAAUACCGUGCUCUUAGUGACUACAUAAAUUUUCAAUAAUAUCUAUCACCUCUUUCUGCAGUGUCUGAUGACUACAUGAUUGUACCAGGUGGUCCUGCUCUAUUCUGGAAACACUUGGAGAUAGUAAUCGUGGAUUGCAUAGCUCUUUGUGAGCGCACGUAAUUAUGCAAACUAUAAGUGAAUAUUAUUUUGAAAAGCUGAAAUAGCACCAAGAAAAGCUGAACCAGUGCCAUGAAGAUGAUUGCCAAAAUUCUUCUUUGUAAGCUCUUUGUUUCCCAGUAUUGUUUACUUGAGAUUACUGGGGACCCAAUGCCAACCUGACACAACAUGACCCACAGCAGUCUCUGCUCUGAACUGCAGACGUUUCUAAUGGCUUUUUAUGGAUCAGUUCUUCCUUGGAGAGCACUACAGUGCUGACAUCCUGGUUGCCCCAUGGCUUGCGUGACCAGUUGUUUCAUGACUUGAAUCUAGCAUCCUCCUACCCAGAGGGAACAAUUGAGACUAUGCUGGCUUUGUAGUAACAAAGAUUUCCUACAGUAAUGAAAUUCUUACCUGGUGGCUUGUCGCAAAAUUAAGACUUUAUUUUCUGCUGAAGAAGUAUGAAUAAUAACCGGAGUGGGUCUGGUCUGGCUGACCUUGCUUUUCUUUCCCCAAAUUAUUUUCUUCUCCUGUUGUCCAUUCUGGCUGCUGGAGAUCUGACUCAGGAGCUGCCAUUUGACCUCUCUGCCCAAGACCAUAAAAUUAAUUGAACAUGCCUGUCUCCAUGUGUGUUCACUAAAGGGACCGUCCAUUCCAGCACAAGUCAGUAAAGCAUUUGCAUCAAUAUGAACAGGAAAUACCUAAAUACAGGGCAUGAAAUUUGUGCACUCAGCCUGCUAUACAAAUCAGCUCAUUGCACUUCCUCUCAUUGUCCUAUAUGUGUAACCUUUUGUCUCCCGUGUCCUUUCCACUUAAUUUUACUUUGCCCUCUACUUUCACCUCCAUUACCGUGUUAUACAUGGGCAGUUGGCGAUGUGACUCAAUCAUAUCAGCCUCCUCCCGCUGUUUUACUUCGAUCAUCUCAACCUUUCUCCACUGAGCUGACAAAGAUACUUUCUCUUGUGCCAUGGAAAAACAUGAUCUAAACAAUAUGAUAAUGUUAGCAUUCUGCGUGCAUGGUUUCAAUCACGUCUCAUGUAACCAGUCACCUGGCUGUUUUUUUUUUUUUUUCAUAAUGAAAUCACCCUUGUUAUCAGUUUGUUUUCAUUCAGUUCCUAUGAAAGGAUUGCUCACAGCUUGAGUCAAGCCAGACACUUCAAUAUCUCUGUCAGGAAGUCAGUAAAGAUAAUAAGAAGGGGUAUGCCCAGAUGAAUCUUUGGAAAUAUAACAUUUAAGAGCAGAGAUGCUUCUGAUAGCUCUCAGCCAUUUUGCAGAACAUUAAAAAAAAUAAAACAAACUGUUGUUUAUUCAUGCUUUUGUAUUGCUCCUGUGCAUCCAUUCCGUAAGUCCAAGUUUCCCACCUUUAUUGUUCAUUUUAAGAUCUUCUGCUCUCACAGCUUUCUUCCCAGGAAGAGUAGCAGAAAGCUGAGCGAGGCAGAGUCACUCCUCUGACCCAGCGGCUGGGUCCAGCUGCUACUACAGCUGCAGAGUUCUCCAGAGAGCUCUGAGAAGUGGCCCCUCCUGCUGCCAUCCAUCCCUGGGUGUCAGGGUGAGUGCUGCUGGAAGUGGAGGUGUUCCCCCAUCUCUGUCCCCUCCCCAGAAGAAAGGGAUCACUGCCCCAUGCACUCGAGCGUGCCCCGAGAUCAUCCGUUGUUUUUUGCUUCUGUGUUUCUCUCCUGAAAUGAAUAUUUUUUUGCAAUGUCAACUGGCAAUAUCUGCAUUGUUAUGAAGCUUUCUUGGCACUGCUUCUGCUGAUUGAUGGCUCUAAAAAUGCAGCAUAUUUCAUUUUCUUUUCCUAGAUGUGAAGCCAGCUGCUAAUGGUUUUCACAGGGUGAAGCUGGCAGCUGCAGGAUCAGGUCUCAGGGCUCUGAAACGUUCGUUCGCAGGAGUGCCACCUGGGCUUUUGGUUGUUUUAUUACUGAUCGUAAGAAGUAAUCUGAGCAAAAUUGGUGCUGUGCCUGGCUGCAUAUUCUGGGGUCUGAUUUGGGAAACUGAGGUCAUUAGCAUCAGAUGGACACGAUCACAGUGAUUUCUCUUUACAACUCUCUGAAAGAAGGUUGUGGCGAGGCGGAGGUCAGCUGCUUCUCCCGGGUAACAGCAAUAGAAUGAGAGGUGAUGGCUUUCAGUUGCUCCAGGGAAGGUUCAAGUUAGAUAUUAGGAAAAAUUUCUUCAGAGGAAGAGUGGUGAGGUAUUGGUACAGGCUGCCUAGGGAGGUAGUGGAGUCACUGUCCCCAGAGGUGAUCAAGAAAAGGGUCGAGGUCGAGAUCUGAGGGAUCACAGACAUGGGUUAGUGGUUGGACUAAAUGAUCUUAGUGGUCUUUCCAACACCGAUGAUUCUAUGAUCUUGAAAUCUUUCUGUAUGCAGUUAAAACUUCCUGUUUCCAAAAACAUGUUGAAGCCUGUGGUUGACAUUUGUCUCUUUUUUUUUCAUCUGGCUCUUGAAGUCAAAUACAGAAACUAAUGCAUGAAUAUUACCCUCUUUCUGUUAAUUGUGAGUGCUUGCUGAAGAUGGAAAUGAAUGUCAGUGCAUCGUAAGUAAGAGCAACUCUGUGACUCUCUGCAGCCAUCAAACCAAAUAUUUUCUUGCAGGGCUUAGAUAAAAUAGGUAUCUGUGUACGUUCUUGUUCCUUCCCUCUACAAAAUGGCCAUUUGAUUCCAACAUGUGUCUGCCCUGCCCAGUUUUCCUGUAUUUCAUUCACGACACAUGGCUGAGGCCAUCUGGGCUAUGGAAUUGCUAUAUUCCUUCUUCAAACCCCACGUAUCUCCUUCUCUGAGAAAGGCCCUCUGUGACUACUAAGCAUGUGAUGGGUUUGCUCCCACCUAGCUGUGUAGAUGGCACAUUCUUUUGGGAGGAAGAGGAAGGAAAGGCAGACAGCUUUGGCAGUGCUGCCCGUUAUUCACUAGGCUGAUUCUCAAAAGGUCAGACAGGAUGCCUGGUUCUUCUUCGAGAAGAGCACGACAAAACUGUUUGGUUUUCUGGGAAUUCCCAAAAGCAGCAAGAGCAUAAUCACACAAAAAUCAAGCAAACACAAAUGUUGUAGUGUUAGCUGCUCUGUCCCAUCAAAUCAACCUUGACACACAAUGGAGCAAUUUUAAACAGGAGAAAUAGUAUCCAUAAGAAGAACUAUCCUAAAUCUUUCUCACAGUUUGGACUAUUUGCUUAAUUUCUCACCUAUCCAAUCAACCAAAAAGCAUCCAAAAUUGCUAGGAGACUGAAGAGUGGACCUACAGUGUACGUUGCUAUUUUCUGUGGGGCUCUGCAGGUCAAGUUCUUUUUCAUCAGUGUGUGCCACAGAGGCUUUAGAUAGGGAACUGGUGAAGAAUAGCAGAACAGCGAAAGCCAUUAUCUCAAAAGACUGAUAUUUACUGGAUUCUUGCUUUUAAACUUUCUAGCUGAGUUACAGGAUUUCCUUUAUAGUAGCACAUUCAUUUGCUUCUUUUUUUUUUUUUUUAAACAAAUAAGUACAAUUGAACAGAGUAUGCUCAGGUCUUAUCCACUGUUAUCUAUAAUUAUCACCAAAGAACCUUUUAAGUCCUGUUCUCAUACAAAUGAGGCUUGUAUACUUCUAGCACAGAGGAGUACAUUAGCAAUCCUGAGGAUUAACAACAGAAUUGGGUCAAUAAGAGAAGGAGAAAGACCAGAGCAUACUGUCUGAUCGCACUGUUUCCAAUCUAAUGUGAAAAGGUACUUUCAGUGCAGAGAAUACAGUAGAGCAACAGUUAAAUUAAUGCCACUGCAUAGUCUUCAUUUGAAUCCCUGCGUACAUGUUCAGAUUUGUACGAGCAGAGGGAAUGGCUAUUAGGAUAAUCAGGAGGAAUGAAGAGCUUGCUUUGUAAGUAGAGAUUAAAAUUAAUUUGCUUAGCGUAGCAAAAGGGAGAGCGAGGAGGCAUUUUGUGUUGCUGAUAUGUGCACAGAGGGAAGGGAGCUCUGCAGGCUGAGGGAGAAUGCAGUGAGAAUAUCUGCUGUAAGAAUGAAUACAAACAUGCUUUGAGUGGAAAACAGGAAAUUUCUACCUACAGAAACAUAAAGAUCAAGAUGGCUAAAACAAAAAUCCUACUUCUCAGAUGGAUUUCAUGGCGGCUUCUAAUAGUAAAGAACUCAGGCUAAGCAGAAGCAAUGGCAUGGUUCAUAUAGCAUGGGUUUUUAUAAUGUAGCUAAAGGAGAUCUGCACGGUAGCAUUCACCAAAUCCUUCUUCCAUGUGGCCCUAAAGAAAUAAAGACACCUCCAGGCACAGCAGGUUGACACCUCUAACAGACUAUCCCCCUCUCUUUUGGAUGAAAUACUUCUGGAGUCUGAAAAUGGGCAUGAUGUAUAGAAUCAACUCAACAGGUUUCUUAGGUAUAUUUGACAAAGGGAAAAUACCUUCAUAUUACUGCCACUACUGAAGCAGAGAAGUUGGAAGGUUCUGAAGCAGGAGUUUUGAAAUGCUCACCUUGCCCUCACCCACCACAGAUUUGAUUUAAUGCCUAUAAGCCACAUUAAUGUUUAUAAUAUUUCACUUUUUGAUAAAAAAGAUGGAAAUCUAUUAUCUAUUUUGUUAUUUUAUCAUCAAUCAUUGAACUUUUGUUGGGAUUUUUUUAAUGCAUUUAUCAUCUUACCAUAAAUAUCCUGGAAUAUAAAAAUGUCUGAUUCGUAGACUCUCACUAUGAAUAAAUUAAGCUGGAUUUAUGAGACUUAUGGUCUGUUCUUCCUCCGUUCUUCGGAGGGCUUUGUGAAUGUGCAGUGAGAGCUCUUAUUUCUUAUUAUGCAAUUUUACUGCCACCGUGUAACUGGGUUAAUAUAAGGAGUAUAAAUAGGGAUACGCAUUUACUGGUGUGAUGUUUCAAUAUGGAGAUGAGCAUCUGAAGUUAAAAAAUAUGAACUGAAGUGCAGGCUGUAUUACUUACUGGGCACAUGGAAAGAAAAAGCAUUUCUAGUGCUGAAGAAAUAAUGGAGUAUGUGGGCAUUGUCUCCUAGGAAGGGGAAAAAAGAUUUCCAACAGCAGGCAUUUGCAUCUGGUUUGAUUCCUUCCCUUAGUCAUCACAUUGACUUGAUAAUCUUGGAGCCUGAUAAUCUUUAAGGUGCCUUUCAACCUAAGCCAGUCUAUGAUUCUGUGAUUUUUAUUCUGUCUUUCAGAGUUCAGAGAAAAUGUCAGACCCAAUUUCCUUUGACCCUAAAUCUAAGAGCAGAACAGGUAUUCUGUACACAACAGGCAGGCAAUUUACUUAAAAGGUUAAACAUCUCACUAGCCUAGAACAAAACUUCAUCACCGUUGUAGCCGUUUUGGUUGCAUUGUGAUGUCAGAUGGAGAGCCAGCGGGUUAUUGCUAUAUUAUGUUUCAUUAUGAAAUCCAGUCAGAUUAAUGACUUUGGGGCCAUUUGAGAUUUACAUAAUUUAUAUCGAUGACUUGCUGCUUAAAGUGUUUUACCAAAUAGGGAAAUAAAUUGUAGGUUUUAUAAAAAUAUCAUAAUUAAAAAUUGACUUGUACUAACUGCUGGCUUCAGGAAUGUGCAUGAAGUUCAAGUAUGAUGGAUUGUUUUGCUCAGUGCAAACUAUAAAAAACAAGAGAGACUUAUGACGAUAAAGCUUUUUCGGGGGAGUGGUUACAUUAUCAAUCUUUAUAUUGAGCCAAAAGCUGCUUGCAUUUCUUCUGUGCAUAUUUUAUUGACUUAACUGUGACCAGUUGUGGAAAGAGAGCAAUAUUGGUAUUCUACUGAAGAGACCUUCAAAAUCAAAAUAUCUGUUCUUUAACCAAGAAUAAAACCUCAGAAACCAAACACUUAUUUUAGUUACUUGACUCCAGAAUUUAGCAAACUGGGUUAAAUCUUUUGCUACAAAAAUGGAAGGGCAAGUUUCUUGACUUUCUUCACUUUAGUGGUCAAAAUAUUCAUGUGGUGAAUGUUAUUUUUGUAUUGAUUUGAUUGCGGGGAAGCAAUGAAGAAAUAUGCAGUGGGUAUCUGUGAUAUGUAAGCCUGACACUAAUAUUUUUGUUGAGAGGUGUUGUUUGCUGAAAAUGGGUUUGAGCGCAUCUUUUGGGGUGUAAAAAUGAGCCGAAACCUGCUGUCUGUAUGACUGCUGUAUUUCCAGUAUUUAAAAGGGGAUUAUAAAAAGGAGGAGAAUCAACUUUUUACUCAGGUAGAUAGGACAAGGAAGAAUGGUUUUAAGCUCAAGGAGGGAAGGCUUAGAUUGGAUGUCAGGGCAAAAUGCUUCACAGAGAGACUGGUGAGGUGCUGGAACAGGCUUCCCAGGGAGGCUGCGGAUGCCCCAUCUCUGGAGGUUUUCAGGGUUGGAUGGGGCUCUGGGCAACCUGGUCUAGUACCAGAUCUGGAGGUUGGUGCCUGUGGCAGGGGGUUGGAACUUGUUGUCUUUGAGGUCCUUUCCAACCCACGCCAUUCUGUGAUUCACAGUGAAAAAAAUCAGAGGAGCUGAACAGGAACAAUGGCUUUGAAGUUAACAUGCAACAGUAAAGUUCAUAUGUAAGGAAUUAAACACAUUCUUCCCUUUCUUUUUUUUGUGUCAAACCAAAAUUCAGUUAUUUAAUCAGCAUACUGAGAUUUGCGAAGGGUUUGCUAGAAAUGAGAAGUUGUUCCUUGCUGCUACAAUUAGAGAUGAAGCACAAAACACUUUACCACCUCUUACCCCUGGAAAAAGGGCACUGGGGAAGACAGUGUCCAAGCUGCUGUGCUGCCCAGGAGCUGGAAGCUAACAUCCAGCAGAUGUUAGCAGAGCAGAACGGAGGAAAGCAAAGUCCUAGGAUGGUGAUGGAUGGCACAACAGCACCAAGACAUCAGACAGAAGACUAUCUUACAAUUAUUAACACAAGAGGAAUAAAUCUGUUGGAGGAAUGACUCAUAUUUGUAUGAGAGAGACUGUACAACUGCAGGAGCAGCAUAAUACUAGCUGGAGGCUUUUUUUUUUUUUUAAAGCAAGCCUUUCGUGUCAUGCAGCAGUGCAUGCACAGCAAGGGGCACUCUCUUGUGAUGGAAUUACAUGCUCAACAAGCUAUGCCUCACAGUCAUGGUAUACAGUGGUUCUGCAACAGGGAGAGAGACUUCCUUCUGAUACACCUUUAUGAAAUAGAUUUGAAGUAAGUUUCAAGGUUUGAAAUAAGUUUUGAUCUGCACACCAGAUAUCUGUGAUAAUAAAAAUGUGUUUCCCCUUAA
This is a long non-coding RNA of Numida meleagris (helmeted guineafowl), 17020 nucleotides long. RefSeq lists it as uncharacterized. The transcript has 11 exons. The record is from RefSeq and is a predicted model, not a curated record. NCBI's taxonomy places the organism in Eukaryota, Metazoa, Chordata, Aves, Galliformes, Numididae.